Molecule: ribosomal RNA, 380 nt
Filed under: uncultured eukaryote
Lineage: Eukaryota
Description: partial 18S ribosomal RNA
Rfam family: Eukaryotic small subunit ribosomal RNA
Source: RNAcentral
CAAUAGCGUAUAUUAAAGUUGUUGCGGUUAAAAAGCUCGUAGUUGGAGUUCUGCCAGGUGCCGUCUGUCCGCCCCAGUGGUGAGUACGUGACGCGCAUUUGGCCCUUUCAAGGGGAGCGUAUCUGCACUUUACUGUGUGGUGCGGGAUCCUUGACUUUUACUUUGAGGAAAUAGGAGUGUUCCAAGCAGGCUCUCGUCGCGCACAGCUCAGCAUGGAAUAAUAGCAUUGGACCUCGAUUCUAAGCUGUUGGUUGCCAGAAGCGAGGUAAUGAUGAAGAGGGAUAGUUGGGGGCAUUCGUAUUUAACUAUCAGAGGUGAAAUUCUUGGAUUUGUUAAAGACGGACUACUGCGAAAGCAUCUGCCAUGGAUGUUUUCAUUGA